This 253-nucleotide ribosomal RNA is filed under the name uncultured bacterium. RNAcentral's name for it is "partial 16S ribosomal RNA". It matches the Rfam family "Bacterial small subunit ribosomal RNA", at positions 524 to 776 of the family's 1533-position model. The record is from RNAcentral.
UACGGAGGGGGCAAGCGUUAUUCGGAAUUAUUGGGCGUAAAGGGCGCGUAGGCGGCUAGAUGUGUCAAAGGUGAAAUCCCUCGGCUCAACUGAGGAACUGCCUUUGAAACUGUCUGGCUUGAGGCCGGGAGAGGGUAGCGGAAUUCCCAGUGUAGCGGUGAAAUGCGUAGAUAUUGGGAGGAACACCAAUUGCGAAGGCAGCUCACUACACAAUCAUUGACGCUGAGGCACGAAAGCGUGGGGAUCAAACAGG